Molecule: ribosomal RNA, 132 nt
Filed under: Paramormyrops kingsleyae
Lineage: Eukaryota; Metazoa; Chordata; Actinopteri; Osteoglossiformes; Mormyridae
Source: RNAcentral
UAUCGCAUCGCACCUCCCUGACCCACACCACCUGCAGUUCAGACUAGGGAAUCCACCUGAAGCUAAGCAGGCUUGGGCCUGGCCAGUACUUGGAUGGGAGACCGACUUAAAAAAGGUGGGUUGGUGCUGGAG